UCAGGUGGCCGCAGAGAAUAGGCCCAAGCGACUGUUUACCAAAAACAUAGGUUUCUGCUAAGUCGCAAGACGAUGUAUAGGAGCUGACGCCUGCCCGGUGCUGGAAGGUUAAGGGGAUCUGUUAGAGCAAUCGAAGCAGUGAACUUAAGCCCCAGUAAACGGCGGCCGUAACUAUAACGGUCCUAAGGUAGCGAAAUUCCUUGUCGGGUAAGUUCCGACCCGAACGAAAGGCGUAACGAUUUGGGCACUGUCUCAACAACAGACUCGGUGAAAUUGUAAUUCCGGUGAAGAUGCCGGAUACCUGCGACAGGACGGAAAGACCCCAUGGAGCUUUACUGUAGCUUGACAUUGGGUCUUGGUACUACAUGUACAGGAUAGGUGGGAGGCUUUGAAACCAGGACGCCAGUUUUGGCGGAGCCAUCCUUGGGAUACCACCCUU
RNAcentral lists this ribosomal RNA (439 nucleotides) under Clostridioides difficile. RNAcentral's name for it is "partial 23S ribosomal RNA". It matches the Rfam family "Bacterial large subunit ribosomal RNA", at positions 1769 to 2207 of the family's 2925-position model. The record is from RNAcentral. Lineage: Bacteria; Bacillati; Bacillota; Clostridia; Peptostreptococcales; Peptostreptococcaceae.